GGACCAGCAGUUGGCCUCUCUCCUCCAGGCAUUGGGCUCCACCCUGUCACUGGGAGGAGAGUUACCCAGGAAAACCUGCAGGUCUGUGGGGAGAGUCCUGGGUCUCUGUGCCUCCAGAUUGGACCUCACUCUCACCCCCAGCAAGAUCUCUCUCCAAGGAGCCGCACUUCUUUUGAGACAUGAGUCAAAGCUCCACAAGCUCAGGCUGAAUGUGGGUGUGGCAGUGAAACUGUCCAGACUGGUUAGGAGGACAGGGAGAGGUGCUACUCCACUGACUGUCCCAGAGCUCUCCCUGGUCCUACAGAGCAGCCAGCCACCAGAGAGAGUGUUAU
Long non-coding RNA from Oncorhynchus tshawytscha (Chinook salmon), 332 nucleotides. The record is from Ensembl. Lineage: Eukaryota; Metazoa; Chordata; Actinopteri; Salmoniformes; Salmonidae.